UAAUGAAUUGGCAGACUAGUGCCUUAAAUUUAGAAUUUAAUAAAGUAUAAAAUUUUAUACAUUCGUUAA
This 69-nucleotide transfer RNA is filed under the name Drabescoides nuchalis. Its description in RNAcentral is "tRNA-Leu". Lineage: Eukaryota; Metazoa; Arthropoda; Insecta; Hemiptera; Cicadellidae. The record is from RNAcentral.